Molecule: ribosomal RNA, 520 nt
Filed under: uncultured bacterium
Lineage: Bacteria
Description: bacterial SSU rRNA
Rfam family: Archaeal small subunit ribosomal RNA
Source: RNAcentral
AACCUCCGCAAUGUGAGAAAUCGCGACGGGGGGAUCCCAAGUGCCAUUCUUAACGGGAUGGCUUUUCAUUAGUGUAAAGAGCUUUUGGAAUAAGGGCUGGGCAAGACCGGUGCCAGCCGCCGCGGUAACACCGGCAGCUCUAGUGGUAGCAGUUUUUAUUGGGCCUAAAGCGUCCGUAGCCGGUUUAAUUAGUCUCUGGUGAAAUCCUGUAGCUUAACUGUGGGAAUUGCUGGAGAUACUAUUAGACUUGAGACCGGGAGAGGUUAGAGGUACUCCCAGGGUAGAGGUGAAAUUCUGUAAUCCUGGGAGGACCGCCUGUUGCGAAGGCGUCUAACUGGAACGGUUCUGACGGUGAGGGACGAAAGUUAGGGCGCGAACCGGAUUAGAUACCCGGGUAGUCCUAACCGUAAACGAUGCGGACUUGGUGUUGGGGUGGCUUUGAGCUGCUCCAGUGCCGAAGGGAAGCUGUUAAGUCCGCCGCCUGGGAAGUACGGUCGCAAGACUGAAACUUAAAGGAAUU